GUUGGGAAUAUUGGACAAUGGGCGAAAGCCUGAUCCAGCCAUGCCGCGUGUGUGAAGAAGGUCUUCGGAUUGUAAAGCACUUUAAGUUGGUAGGAAGGGCAGUAAGUUAAUACCUUGCUGUUUUGACGUUACCGACAGAAUAAGCACCUGCUAACUUCGUGCCAGCAGCCGCGGUAAUACGAAGGGUGCAAGCGUUAAUCGGAAUUACUGGGCGUAAAGCGCGCGUAGGUGGUUUUGUAAGUUGGAGGUGAAAUCCCCGGGCUCAGCCUGGGAACUGCCUCCAAAACUGCAUGACUAGAGUACGGUAGAGGGUAGUGGAAUUGCCUGUGUAGCGGUGAAAUGCGUAGAUAUAGGAAGGAACACCAGUGGCGAAGGCGACUACCUGGACUGAUACUGACACUGAGGUGCGAAAGCGUGGGGAGCAAACAGGAUUAGAAACCCUGGUAGUCC
This 450-nucleotide ribosomal RNA is filed under the name uncultured bacterium. RNAcentral's name for it is "partial 16S ribosomal RNA". It matches the Rfam family "Bacterial small subunit ribosomal RNA", at positions 354 to 796 of the family's 1533-position model. The record is from RNAcentral.